GACGAACGCUGGCGGCGUGCCUAAUACAUGCAAGUAGAACGCACAGUUUAUACCGUGGCUUGCUACACCAUAAACUGUGAGUUGCGUACGGGUGAGUAACGCGUAGGUAACCUGCCUGGUAGCGGUGGGUAACUAUUGGUAACGCUAGCUAAUACCGCAUAAUAUUGAUUAUUGCAUGAUAAUUGAUUGAAAGAUGCUAUUGCAUCACUACUAAACGGACCUGUGUUGUAUUAGCUAGUAGGUGAGGUAACGGCUCACCUAGGCGAUGAUACAUAGCCGACCUGAGAGGGGGUACGGCCCCACUGAGACUGUGACACGGCCCAGACUCCGACAGAAGGCCGCAGUAGGGAAGCGUGGGAGAAGGGCGGAAGACUGAACGAGGAACGCCGGGUGGGUGCAGAAGGUUCUCGGGUCGGAAAGCUCUGUUGGAAGAGUAGAACGGGUUUGCUAGUGGAAAGUUCACUUUGUGACGGUACCUGACCAGAAAGGAACGGCUAACUACGUG
RNAcentral lists this ribosomal RNA (505 nucleotides) under uncultured bacterium. RNAcentral describes it as "partial 16S ribosomal RNA". It matches the Rfam family "Bacterial small subunit ribosomal RNA", at positions 28 to 507 of the family's 1533-position model. The record is from RNAcentral.